GACGAACGCUGGCGGCGUGCUUAACACAUGCAAGUCGAGCGGUAAGGCCUUUCGGGGUACACGAGCGGCGAACGGGUGAGUAACACGUGGGUGAUCUGCCCUGCACUUCGGGGUAAGCCUGGGAAACUGGGUCUAAUACCGGAUAUGACCUCCUAUCGCAUGGUGGGUGGUGGAAAGAUUUAUCGGUGCAGGAUGGGCCCGCGGCCUAUCAGCUUGUUGGUGGGGUAAUGGCCUACCAAGGCGACGACGGGUAGCCGACCUGAGAGGGUGACCGGCCACACUGGGACUGAGACACGGCCCAGACUCCUACGGGAGGCAGCAGUGGGGAAUAUUGCACAAUGGGCGAAAGCCUGAUGCAGCGACGCCGCGUGAGGGAUGACGGCCUUCGGGUUGUAAACCUCUUUCAGCAGGGACGAAGCGCAAGUGACGGUACCUGCAGAAGAAGCACCGGCUAACUACGUG
Molecule: ribosomal RNA, 462 nt
Filed under: uncultured bacterium
Lineage: Bacteria
Description: partial 16S ribosomal RNA
Rfam family: Bacterial small subunit ribosomal RNA
Source: RNAcentral